UGGUACACUGUCACAAGCAUAUGAUUGCAAUUCUUGAUUGUAUGCUCAAGUGAUCAUUGCUGUGUAUACAAUGUCUUUGGUCAGCCAUUUACCAUACUGUUUUUAUUACACAAUCCAUGUUUUCAAUGUUAUUUCAUCAUUUUUAAACGAAUCCAUAUUUACACGUUGAAGCAAGUGCUGAGGAGAUUGAGGCGGCAAGGGAGAAAGAUGAAUUAUUGAAAAAAAAAUCUGAUUAUUACUUACAACCAUUGCACAUUUCCAAUAAAUUACAUGGCUAUGACUCCAAUGCACCAUUACCUACCCCUCCCACAGAUGCAUACACGGCAUCUACAGUUCCUUUACCUGAAGUUGCUGUUGAACCAUCAACACAGAAAUUAAAAGAUGCUGGUUCUUACGAAAGGCUAACAGACGAUACCUCUCCACGAAAAGAAGCAUCUUAUAAGAAUGAAGACGCAAUAAGAUUAGAAAAUAUGACAGCGACAAAUCACAACGACACUAAAGAUGUUCAACAGCCUGAAAAGAUAGAGUCCAUUUUUUGAAGCAUAUUUUUUACAUUAUUUUGUGAAUUGGAAACGAAGAUACGUAGGAACUGCCAAUUGAAGAAUUUUAA
Xenia sp. Carnegie-2017 is the source of this 610-nucleotide long non-coding RNA. RefSeq lists it as uncharacterized. NCBI's taxonomy places the organism in Eukaryota, Metazoa, Cnidaria, Anthozoa, Malacalcyonacea, Xeniidae. The transcript is spliced from 2 exons. The record is from RefSeq and is a predicted model, not a curated record.